Molecule: ribosomal RNA, 265 nt
Filed under: uncultured bacterium
Lineage: Bacteria
Description: partial 16S ribosomal RNA
Rfam family: Bacterial small subunit ribosomal RNA
Source: RNAcentral
GUCCACGCUGUAAACGAUGAGUACUAGGUGUUGGGGUAUUGACCCCUCCAGUGCCGGCGCUAACGCAAUAAGUACUCCGCCUGGGGAUUACGGUCGCAAGACUAAACUCAAAGGAAUUGACGGGGCCCGCACAAGCGGUGGAGCAUGUGGUUUAAUUCGAAGCAACGCGAAGAACCUUACCUGGCCUUGACAUCCGAGGGACCCUGCCGAAACGCGGGGGUAGGCCUCUGGUCGAACCUCGAGACAGGUGCUGCAUGGCUGUCGU